UGCAUGUGAGUGGGCGAGUGGGGAAGCGCGAGAGGAGGGGUGAGGGAAGGAGGGGGUUUCGCGCGCACAGCCGCACUGCUCUUCUCUGCUCGCGCCGCGGAUUUCCACUGGAUUUGUUUCCUCACAUCACUCCGUCUCGCAUCUCGCCGUGUUUCAUACUCUAGCCCAAGAGCAAGCAGAAGAGCUGGAAAAGGGGACGCGGGAGUCAAACUGAAAGAGAAGGAAACUCCACAUCAACACCACCUUUCCAAGAUGAGCGAGGUGAGUGAAUGAAUCACGGGGUUGUCAAUGCAGCAGACGCAUCAGUGACUGCAGCGUGGACACACAGGGGAGGCCAACAGCAGCCAAAUGUCCGCCACAGACAACAAAGAAAAGGCAUCUGACUCUGCAGGAAAACCUGAGCAGGAGGAAGAGAUCGAUAUCGACCUGGAAGCCCCGGAGACGGAGAAAGCAGCCCUCGCCAUCCAGAACCAGUUCAGACGCUUUCAAAAGAAGAAGAAAUAGACAUACUUGAACAAUUAGGACAUCUUACACAUGGUUUAGGAAGAAAAUGUGAGGAGGGGUAGAAAGCAAGAGAAAGAGAGAGAAGCAUAACUUAAUCGAGCAUGAAAUGUAACUAGUCUCCCCUCUGCUGCUCCUAAAGCCACAUCUACCCCCCGCAAAAAAACCCUCAUCUUUAACUUCCCGCUUUAUCUUUGUCCCAUACGAGAAGCCAUUCUGAGAAAAACAAUCUUCUUCUUUCUUUCACACAUAGAGUAAGCACAGCACACGACAGUCGCUUCAGAAAAGCACAGUGCAAAUGUCCACCUUACAUCUUCUCUUGUCUCUUCUUUCCAUUUCUCGCUGCAGUUUUAAGUGAAGUGUGGUACAAAAUCUCAGGUUUAGUUCGGUUUCAGACAGUGGAAACCAUGAGUCAGUUGGGACUUGACUCCCAGAAUGAUGCCAAAAUGGUGACAACUUACGAACACUAGCACGAUUGAGUAGUACUGACAAGCGUCUAGUUCCUGUUCUAGUCAAAAAACCUUAACCCAAAAGGUAUGCAAUUUCCUUACCUAGCUGAAUUAUUGAUGCACCUGCGGUUAGCACAAAGAAUCAAGAGACAACAAGAGCCAAGAGGACCUGGAAGAAGACAGGACAAACUGCUUCAGAAAGUGUCUACACAGAAGGAUAAAAGCUGCAGCCAGUGGAAGAGAUGUCUAAAUACAAUGUAUUUGUGACAUUUGAUCAGAAUAGUAUGUAGAGCGAGUGCCAGUGGCCCCUGAAAUGAAAUCAUUGAUCAGUUUUAGCCAGUCAUCGGACAGGAUCAGGACAUGCUAUUGUGUUACAACAGUGGUAAUGUGAGCCGAGGCGCAUACGAAGUAUUGACUGACUGCGAUUCCCAACACACAACCACAGAUUUAAAGUCACUGGAGAGAUCAGACAAGAGAAACAUGUGGAUGAUGUGAGAAGGAAACAAAAACGCACAAGAUUGUUCACCACGAAUAGUAACUCCAAAUCCCCAGUGCACAACUUCUGGGCAUUCACACUUUUCCUCGCAUUUAAAUCUGCAUGUGGCACACUGACCUGCUCUGAAAAGCCAGGCCUCUAUCUACGCCUCAGUCUCUUGUCUCAAACUAAUUAAUGCUCUAUUAAUUAUUAUUGGAAUGUAACCUCUUUUUCUAUUUAAAGGAGACAAUCUCUUUGCUAAGACUCAGCUUUGUAUGAAAGCUACCUUCAUAACCAAAUGGGCCAAUUUACAUAGUCAAAAUUCCCAGUCAGACACCAUUUAUGGUAAAAUUCAAAAGAGUUAAAAAGCAAAUUCACCCCCAACCCCAUUGGUUCUCCUUUUGUUUUUACCUUUCAUUAAUUCUUUGUACCCACAAGACCGCUUUCAUUUGUCCCUCUGUGGUUUUUUUAUGGCCCAUUUUAAGCAUGGCCUCAUUCUGCUUCCCCUGAAGGCUUUUCAAUCCUCAAUCUAUCUUGUAUGGCAUGUCAACUGGGAUUUUGAAGCCCGUUUUAGAGUUUGAUGGAAUAUAUGACGGAGCAGCUGUGGUCCUUACUGAUGUCAUAGAUACUAUAUUACAACUAGAACAUAAUAUUAUUCAACAUAGAGACAAAAUGAAUAGGGUACUGUAUAUUGAAAGCAUGCAGCUGUAUAUCUUAAACACCCUGCUUUAUGAUAUUUCUCAGUUCCAUUCAAUAGCCUUGAUUCUAUCCUGCACUCGAGUGAUUGACAUCGGUCUUGUUCCAAUUCUUCAGCCGUCUGCUUUCUCCUUCUCGCCCUUCACUCCAAGCUAAUCCGGUUAAGGGCUCAGAAAUGAGACGUGAUAGAAUUUGGCUCACAGAGAAAAGAACCUCACCAUUCAUUGUGCGCGUAGUACUACAGCCACAUUUUGCAUGUUUCUAUACCUUUCCAGCCAGCUGAGGGUUAGAGAAGGGAUGGAAGGGUUGACAUUUUUCUUGAAAUCUGCUGGAACCUUUAGCAAUAACGACAAUGCUAUGAGAGACAGGAGCAUCUCCAAGUGUUGGAGACAGUGACAGACCUCUCCGCAUCCUCUGCAGGGAAUCCACCGAAGUCAAGAAUCGCCAUCAAAUGCAUCCCGAACCCAGCCUUGCUUAUCUGCUAACCUCUUUAAACAAACCAGGUUGCAUCAUUCUCGUAUUGCUUGUAUUCUUUAAUCACUGGGCUGAACAUCCGAUUGAACAAGAUAGACAUCAGUCACACUGUAAUCUGCCCUUGUUAGUCCUGUUUGAAUUUGACUGAGAAUCCAUUGUUGUGUUCUCUUAUAACUCUGGUUCACAUUGAGGUGCUGCAAGGGUGUGGACUGGACAUUUUGGGGUUUACAGUAUGUUGCUGCUUUUUCUGUGUGUCCUAGAGAAGAAAUGUGGAAAUGCUUGUGACAAAUCAUCUUUAAAUUACUGUACUCUAUGUGUGGAGGAGUGAGAGAUACAGCACUCAAACAGCCCUCUGUUCUUUUAACUUUGCACAAUUAAAA
Cyprinus carpio carpio is the source of this 2975-nucleotide long non-coding RNA. Lineage: Eukaryota; Metazoa; Chordata; Actinopteri; Cypriniformes; Cyprinidae. The record is from Ensembl.